This 509-nucleotide ribosomal RNA is filed under the name uncultured bacterium. RNAcentral describes it as "bacterial SSU rRNA". It matches the Rfam family "Bacterial small subunit ribosomal RNA", at positions 18 to 518 of the family's 1533-position model. The record is from RNAcentral.
UCUGGUUCAGGAUGAACGCUAGCUACAGGCUUAACACAUGCAAGUCAGGGGCAGCAUGGAUCAGCUUGCUGAUCCUGAUGGCGACCGGCGCACGGGUGAGUAACGCGUAUCCUACCUUCCCCCUACUCAGGCAUAGCCCGGUGAAAACCGGAUUAACUCCUGAUAGUUUCACUAGAUGGCAUCUGACGGUGAAUAAAGCUCAGCGGUAAGGGAUGGGGAUGCGUCUGAUUAGCUUGUUGGCGGGGUAACGGCCCACCAAGGCGACGAUCAGUAGGGGUUCUGAGAGGAAGGUCCCCCACAUUGGAACUGAGACAUGGUCCAAACUCCUACGGGAGGCAGCAGUGAGGAAUAUUGGUCAAUGGGCGCGAGCCUGAACCAGCCAAGUAGCGUGCCAGGAAGACGGCCCUAUGGGUUGUAAACUGCUUUUGUGCGGGAAUAAAGUCAGGGACGUGUCCCUGUUUGCAUGUACCGCAAGAAUAAGGACCGGCUAAUUCCGUGCCAGCAGCAGC